This 1030-nucleotide long non-coding RNA is filed under the name Equus caballus (horse). RNAcentral's name for it is "lncRNA (ENSECAG00000051937.1)". Lineage: Eukaryota; Metazoa; Chordata; Mammalia; Perissodactyla; Equidae. The record is from RNAcentral.
CAACAAAAGGAGACUAAGAAGACCUCUAUCUCUGGGCAGCUGGGAAGAACAGUGAUGAUGGACAUUGGGUACCCAGUGCAACAAAAAGAUGCUCAAGACUUCAGGGGAAAAAGUUAUAUGAUCCUGCAUCACAGAGACUGAGGAUCCAGGGCACAGACGACACCUCUCCUAGAACACCAGGAGAGAGAGUCAGGGUGAGCGUCCAUUUCUCUUGACUUCCAAACCUGUGCUCAACUGUCCAGCCAUCCUGCCCAAUGCUUCUGCAUUGGAAAUCGAUUCCCUGCAUUGUGCUAGAUGCCUGCAAGACCGUGUGUCUGUGCAAGCAUUUGCAUGCAUGUGUGUGUUUGCGUGGGGAGGUCUAUGUGCGUGUGUGUGUGUGCACACACGUGUAUGUUGGGGGAAGUGAAGCGUGCCUUAGAGAUGCUGAUGAAAGAGAUUCCAAGUCCUUGCUGGUGUCACACCGUCGUAAAGAACCAGUCAGAUCACUUGGAGGCCAAGACUCAGGACCCCCAGGUAACCUGCGUGGGACCUGGCAGUGCCAGCUAUUUGUAGCAGGGGAGAGGAAUCUCCUUCUAGAAGAGUGAACUACCGUGGAAAUGAGAGGAGAGCAGAGACGCAGGCCUGGCACUCAGAGGGAGCGUGCAGAGAAAUUGCUCAGUCUAUUCGGGUCGAGAACAAGUCCCAGGCUCAUGGAUCCUUCCAUUAAAACCAAACUCGGAGAAAACUACAGAAAUUAGGGAUCACGGAUCCAAGGAACCAACAUAAAAACUAAGAGAAAUUCUUGGGCCACCCAAAAGCUGCUGUGUCCAGGGGUGUGUGGGAGGGGGUGGUGGCUGCCUUCCAGGGCACAGCGUGAACAGAUUCGUGAGGGGGGAAUGGGGCGGGGGCAACCUUUUAAGUGUAGUUCUGUCACCUCCCCCUCACUUCCUUGCUAGGGUCUCAAAAAAUCAAAGCAAAUGUAUAGAAACCUAAACGUUCAGUUAUUAACCUUGAGACAAGGAAAGCUCUAAGAGCCAGGGAUCCUGCGCUC